CCCUUAGAUGUUCUGGGCUGCACGCGCGCUACACUGAAGCGUUCAACGAGUAUUCACCUUGCCCGGGAGGGUUGGGUAAUCUUUUGAAAACGCUUCGUGAUGGGGAUAGAUUAUUGCAAUUAUUAAUCUUCAACGAGGAAUUCCUAGUAAGCGCGAGUCAUCAGCUCGUGCUGAUUACGUCCCUGCCCUUUGUACACACCGCCCGUCGCUCCUACCGAUUGGAUGGUCCGGUGAGCUAUUUGGACCGCUGACUCUUCAGUUCUCUGAGUUGACAGUGGAAAAUCUCGCAAACCUUAUCAUCUAGAGGAAGGAGAAGUCGUAACA
This 324-nucleotide ribosomal RNA is filed under the name uncultured eukaryote. RNAcentral's name for it is "partial 18S ribosomal RNA". It matches the Rfam family "Eukaryotic small subunit ribosomal RNA", at positions 1470 to 1796 of the family's 1831-position model. The record is from RNAcentral.